RNAcentral lists this ribosomal RNA (633 nucleotides) under Hepatozoon sp. RNAcentral describes it as "bacterial SSU rRNA". It matches the Rfam family "Eukaryotic small subunit ribosomal RNA", at positions 304 to 926 of the family's 1831-position model. Lineage: Eukaryota; Apicomplexa; Hepatozoidae. The record is from RNAcentral.
UUUCUGACCUAUCAGCUUUCGACGGUAUGGUAUUGGCUUACCGUGGCAGUGACGGUUAACGGGGGAUUAGGGUUCGAUUCCGGAGAGGGAGCCUGAGAAACGGCUACCACAUCUAAGGAAGGCAGCAGGCGCGCAAAUUACCCAAUUCUAACAGCAUAAGAGAGGUAGUGACAAGAAAUAACAAUACAAGGUAAUUAAAUUGCUUUGUAAUUGGAAUGAUAGAAAUUUAAACACUUUUUAAAGUAUCAAUUGGAGGGCAAGUCUGGUGCCAGCAGCCGCGGUAAUUCCAGCUCCAAUAGCGUAUAUUAAAAUUGUUGCAGUUAAAAAGCUCGUAGUUGAAUUUCUGUUAAAAAUAACCGGUCUGCUUUUAUUAAAAGUGGUAUCUUGGUGUGUUUUUAGCAAUAAUGUCCUUUGAAAUGUUUUUUACUUUAUUGUAAUAAGUCAUUAUUUUGAGGAUUUUUACUUUGAGAAAAUUAGAGUGUUUCUAGCAGGCUUACGCUUUUGAAUACUGCAGCAUGGAAUAAUAAGAUAGGAUUUUAGUUCUACAUUAUUGGUUUUAAGAACUAAAUUAAUGAUUGAUAGGGAUAGUUGGGGGCAUUUGUAUUUAACUGUCAGAGGUGAAAUUCUUAGAUU